Molecule: transfer RNA, 75 nt
Filed under: Pseudomonas fluorescens
Lineage: Bacteria; Pseudomonadati; Pseudomonadota; Gammaproteobacteria; Pseudomonadales; Pseudomonadaceae
Description: tRNA-Asp
Source: RNAcentral
GCCCCGAUGCGCCUAACAGCCAGCAAAUGACUGUCAAUCACUCGGUCCCUGGUUCGAGUCCAGGUCGUGAAGCCA